This 246-nucleotide ribosomal RNA is filed under the name uncultured bacterium. RNAcentral's name for it is "partial 16S ribosomal RNA". It matches the Rfam family "Bacterial small subunit ribosomal RNA", at positions 32 to 259 of the family's 1533-position model. The record is from RNAcentral.
AAUCAACGCUGGCGGCGUGCCUAACACAUGCAAGUCGAACGCGAAAGCCCCGCAAGGGGCAAGUAGAGUGGCAAACGGGUGAGUAACGCGUGGGUGACCUGCCUUCGAGCGGGGGAUAACGUUCCGAAAGGGACGCUAAUACCGCAUAACAUCCUGCCCUUGAACGGGUGGCGAUCAAAGCUGGGGAUUCGCAAGAACCCGGCACUUGAAGAGGGGCCCGCGUCUGAUUAGCUAGUUGGGAGGUAC